This 418-nucleotide ribosomal RNA is filed under the name uncultured bacterium. RNAcentral's name for it is "bacterial SSU rRNA". It matches the Rfam family "Bacterial small subunit ribosomal RNA", at positions 359 to 776 of the family's 1533-position model. The record is from RNAcentral.
GAAUUUUUGACAAUGGGGGAAACCCUGAUCAAGCAACGCCGCGUGGAUGAUGAAGUAUUUCGGUACGUAAAAUCCUUUCGACAGGGAAGAAACCCGAUCUUCGGAUUGGUCUGACGGUACCUGUAGAAGAAGCCCCGGCUAACUCCGUGCCAGCAGCCGCGGUAAUACGGGGGGGGCAAGCGUUGUUCGGAUUUACUGGGCGUAAAGGGCGCGUAGGCGGUCUGCUAAGUCGGAUGUGAAAACUGGGGGCUCAACCCUCAGCCUGCAUCCGAUACUGGUGGGCUUGAGUGCGAGAGGGGAAAGCGGAAUUCCUGGUGUAGCGGUGAAAUGCGUAGAUAUCAGGAGGAACACCGGCGGCGAAGGCGGCUUUCUGGAUCGCAACUGACGCUGAGGCGCGAAAGCUAGGGGAGCAAACAGG